This 87-nucleotide transfer RNA is filed under the name Candidatus Saccharimonadota bacterium. RNAcentral's name for it is "tRNA-Tyr". It matches the Rfam family "tRNA". From Rfam's summary of the family: Transfer RNA (tRNA) molecules are approximately 80 nucleotides in length. Lineage: Bacteria; Candidatus Saccharimonadota. RNAcentral also lists the same sequence under 3 other names. The record is from RNAcentral.
GGGUCGGUACCAAAGUGGACAAAUGGGGCAGACUGUAAAUCUGCUGGCUUUAUGCCUUCCCUGGUUCGAAUCCAGGCCGGCCCACCA